AUGCCCAGGGGACGUGGAUAACCUCGGGAAACUGAGGAUAAACCGCGAUAGGUCACUGCUUCUGGAAUGGGCAAUGACUUAAACCUAUAUGGCCCCUGGAUUGGACUGCGGCCGAUCAGGCUGUUGGUGAGGUAAUGGCCCACCAAACCUGUAACCGGUACGGGCUCUGAGAGGAGGAGCCCGGAGAUGGGCACUGAGACAAGGGCCCAGGCCCUAUGGGGCGCAGCAGGCGCGAAACCUCUGCAAUAGGCGAAAGCCUGACAGGGUUACUCUGAGUGACCUCCGUUAAGGAGGUCUUUUGGCAUCUCUAAAAAGGGUGCAGAAUAAGGGGUGGGCAAGUCUGGUGUCAGCCGCCGCGGUAAUACCAGCACCCCGAGUGGUCGGGACGUUUAUUGGGCCUAAAGCAUCCGUAGCCGGUUCUGCAAGUCUUCCGUUAAAUCCACCUGCUUAACAGAUGGGCUGCGGAAGAUACUACAGAGCUAGGAGGCGGGAGAGGCAAGCGGUACUCGAUGGGUAGGGGUAAAAUCCGUUGAUCCAUUGAAGACCACCAGUGGCGAAGGCGGCUUGCCAGAACGCGCUCGACGGUGAGGGAUGAAAGCUGGGGGAGCAAACCGGAUUAGAUACCCGGGUAGUCCCAGCUGUAAACGAUGCAGACUCGGUGAUGAGUUGGCUUCUUGCUAACUCAGUGCCGCAGGGAAGCCGUUAAGUUUGCCGCCUGGGGAGUACGGUCGCAAGACUGAAACUUAAAGGAAUUGGCGGGGGAGCACCACAAGGGGUGAAGCCUGCGGUUCAAUUGGAUUCAACGCCGGA
This 810-nucleotide ribosomal RNA is filed under the name uncultured archaeon. RNAcentral describes it as "bacterial SSU rRNA". It matches the Rfam family "Archaeal small subunit ribosomal RNA", at positions 109 to 922 of the family's 1478-position model. The record is from RNAcentral.